RNAcentral lists this ribosomal RNA (821 nucleotides) under Cassava frogskin disease phytoplasma. RNAcentral describes it as "bacterial SSU rRNA". It matches the Rfam family "Bacterial small subunit ribosomal RNA", at positions 460 to 1290 of the family's 1533-position model. Lineage: Bacteria; Bacillati; Mycoplasmatota; Mollicutes; Acholeplasmatales; Acholeplasmataceae. The record is from RNAcentral.
AAAACUCCCUUGACGGUACUUAAUGAAUAAGCCCCGGCUAAUUAUGUGCCAGCAGCCGCGGUAAUACAUAAGGGGCGAGCGUUAUCCGGAAUUAUUGGGCGUAAAGGGUGCGUAGGCGGUUUAAUAAGUCUAUAGUUUAAUUUCAGUGCUUAACGCUGUUGUGCUAUAGAAACUGUUUUACUAGAGUGAGUUAGAGGCAAGCGGAAUUCCAUGUGUAGCGGUAAAAUGCGUAAAUAUAUGGAGGAACACCAGAGGCGUAGGCGGCUUGCUGGGACUUUACUGACGCUGAGGCACGAAAGCGUGGGGAGCAAACAGGAUUAGAUACCCUGGUAGUCCACGCCGUAAACGAUGAGUACUAAGUGUCGGGUAAAACCGGUACUGAAGUUAACACAUUAAGUACUCCGCCUGAGUAGUACGUACGCAAGUAUGAAACUUAAAGGAAUUGACGGGACUCCGCACAAGCGGUGGAUCAUGUUGUUUAAUUCGAAGAUACACGAAAAACCUUACCAGGUCUUGACAUUUUCUUGCGAAGUUAUAGAAAUAUAAUGGAGGUUAUCAGGAAAACAGGUGGUGCAUGGUUGUCGUCAGCUCGUGUCGUGAGAUGUUAGGUUAAGUCCUAAAACGAGCGCAACCCUUGUCGUUAAUUGCCAGCAUGUAAUGAUGGGGACUUUAACGAGACUGCCAAUGAAAAAUUGGAGGAAGGUGGGGAUUACGUCAAAUCAUCAUGCCCCUUAUGAUCUGGGCUACAAACGUGAUACAAUGGUUGAUACAAAGAGUAGCUGAAACGCGAGUUCUUAGCCAAUCUCACAAAAUCAAUCUCA